Nymphaea colorata (pocket water lily) is the source of this 1165-nucleotide long non-coding RNA. RefSeq lists it as uncharacterized. The transcript is spliced from 2 exons. The record is from RefSeq and is a predicted model, not a curated record. NCBI's taxonomy places the organism in Eukaryota, Viridiplantae, Streptophyta, Magnoliopsida, Nymphaeales, Nymphaeaceae.
UGAAGGCUUCCAUGAACAUGGGUAAAUGAGGAUUUCAGGGCGAAGGUGUGGAGGGGUGCCGAGAAGGCGUAAUGGAGGUUGAGAAGUUUGUCAUCGGUGGCUCCUAAACCUGGUGCACAUGGAGGGGCGGAGAGGGGCGGAGAUAUUUUAGAGUGAUGUCGAAGAUAGCUUGGAAAUGCACAUUCCCUCUUUGGAGAAGCAGGAGAUUUACCGCAGAAAACGGCUACACAAAUCCAAGGAAGCUUAUCAGCAAAUUAUCCAACUGUUCCAGUACUCACCUGUAGCUGUAAUCACUGGAGGGACUAGGUGUGGCAGAAUCCAAAUGUGGGUUGAUGGAGCUCAUUGGGGCAAAUUUCAUCACUAAAAUGGUGGAGAGACAUGGUUUGCUGAUAGAAGUUCCACUUGUUUUUCUGCGCACAGCAUGGGUGGAACUUCAUGUUGCUGAAGGCGUGUCUAGCUUGAACCAUGGAGUAUGUAGCAAUGAUCAAGUACUAUCAAAAGUGCGGAUCUACAAGUCAUGACAUGGUGAAUUGCUCGGUGCGUACCCCUAGAAGCUGAACCAGAAGUGAGUGAUAGCAACAAGUGCAUGCAGGUGAAACUAGUGCACUGAAACCCUACACCCAAACCAAAGGUGUCAUAGCUGCUUGUAUUGCUUUUCGUAGAUCCUGAAAGCAAUAGAUUUUACGUCUAGGCUAAGAAGGUGAAAUCGGAACCAGAUCAAAUGGUUGUCUCCCUGAGAUAUAGCUGUUUGGGAUAUAUCGGUUUUUGCUCUUACACUGCCUGUGCACCUGUGUCAAUUCCUACGAAGGCAAUGGUAAUUAAUUAUGUGGCUUAUAGCGUGGUAGCCAAUUAUGUGGCCUAUAAUUUAUCGCGCUAACUCCUGUUUGCACCUUCAAAUGGCUACCAGAACACACACACACACACACAAAACACAAACAAUUAGUGAUAUGCAUGCAUAAUUCUUGAAGAUUUCUCAAAAUCUUUGCUAUGCAAUUAUUCUGAAGUCCUUGCAAUCUACCCUCUCAGGAAACAGGUUGCCUUCAAUCAUGAACCACCGGAGAAUCAACCUUUCAUAUGGGAGUCUUUUUGUUUAGAUUCUGUCGCCUUUAAUUGGUGAAAUCCCAUUUGAACAUGUGAAACAGUGAAAGUAUAGGUUAUCUUUGCA